Molecule: long non-coding RNA, 2163 nt
Organism: Arachis stenosperma
Lineage: Eukaryota; Viridiplantae; Streptophyta; Magnoliopsida; Fabales; Fabaceae
Exons: 3
Source: RefSeq, a predicted model, not a curated record
UAUGAACUGAUAAUCUUUUGUGUUGCUGCUAUACUUGAGGGAGAUCCUUGCUUUCAGCUUUACAUCCAACUUAUGCUCCCUUUCUGCUGAUAGGACUGUGAAAGUGUAGCAUAAAAAGUUGCAGCGAAAUCUGUUUUGCUCUGACACUAUGCCGAAAUUACCUUUGCAGAGUAGUAGAGCUUAUCUUGCAGAAAAGAGAAAACAGAAAUGAGUGAGAAACUAGCAGUUUGCUAAAUGAUAUUGCCAAGAAGUUUGCAGUGAUUGGAUGGAGUCCUGGAGCUUAGAAGUUCUGGAUCACUACCACUUCACUUGCAGUCUAAUAUCUGUCCUAAAGUCUUACAUUCUAGCAGAGGAUGCAUGACCUAUCACAUUCCGGUGGAAAUCUAAAUAGUGCAUAUUGUUGUUUUAAUGAAAAUGUUUGGGGGGUGUGUGUCAGAGUAUGUGUGUGUGUGUGCAUGAUCAUUUCUAAGUAUUGAGUUAUUGUCACUUCUUUGUGCUUAUGUUUGUGAUAACUAAUAAUAUUAAAGGAAUAAUGCUUUAUUUGCCUGAACUAAAAAUCCUAAAAUGCUUAUUAUUUUGAAAUGCAUGUUUUCCAGUUGACCCUCAAUAACAUGAAUCACUGUUUUUAUCACAGAUUUACUCUCUUCAACGUACCGCAUAGUUUUUCCAUUCUUAAGAAGCCAUCAAAGGCAUUAAAAAUUGUCAACAAUUGUGAGUUUUAUGAUGCUUGAUGCUCAAGAUCAACAGACAGAAAACGCACUAUCUAAAUGGAUCAAUACUGAAGAACACAUGGAAGAGGAAGGUGCAGAUGCAAAUUAGAGGAAAUCAGGCAAGACAACACUUAAUUUGAUGAUUCCUUUUCCAUCCCUAGCUCUUCCAGUAUUUUUCUUUUUCUUUCCUUUUUUCUUUUUGGGUUUUUGGUUUGAUAUUUAUAGCCUGCUGAAGUGGAAAUAAAUUUCCUUUCACUGCAAUGAAAUGGUAACACUGUUCAGUCUAUUUUGAGGUAAAAUUUAUUGAGAAUACCAUAAUAGGAUUCUUUUUAAUCUUGAAUUAUAUAUAUGAAUGGAAGAACAUGUUGAAGGGUAAUGUUGGAGCAAGGUGUGUUGGUUCUUCUCAUGGUUGGCUUGUGCUUUCGGACUAGAACAGAGUUCCAAUUCUUCUAAUCCCCUUGUUCUUGUUCUUGUUCUUCCACUUCCAUUAACCUGCCCCCUCUUCAUGCAUUCUUGCAACCUGUGACAUAUUCUUACUUUGCUGAAUACUCAAGUAAAACCUUCAUAGUCAAAACAGUAUUGAUGUGUUCUUCCUCUCCUUCAAGCUACAUUCUUGCCAUCAUAUAUGGUAGAUUGCUUAUUGCAAAUCUGCAAUUUGGGUUAAACUCUCUGAUUAUGAUAAGCAAUGUUAUCGUGACGUAAAGUUUGGAAUAUUUGUCUGCAAAAUCCUUAAAGACAGUUUUUUGUUACACCAACCAUGGAGGCGCCAAAUUAUGAAGAGGAAGACUAUUUAGGAUAUAAAUUCUCAAGAAAUUUAUACUCGGUAGUAUCUGGAGAAGAAAUCUUGCUGGUAGUAAGGUAAAUUGGGAAUGUUGUGAAUGAAGAUGGGAUGGUAGUAGAAGGAGAUCUUUUGUCAUGUGGGGAUACACAACUAUCUAUUUAUCCUUAUAGGACAAAGUAUUUUACUGUGUAUAAGCUUGAUCUUCAAGACAAAGAAGUGGAAAACGAUGCGAUCUUUACAUCUUGGGUGCUAAUGAGUGUGUAUCAAUGGCUGCCAAAGCUUGCUUGGGUGUGAAGUAAAGUCAACUUCUUCACAGAUGAUAUGUGGGAAGAGAUGACUUUGGACUACAUAUAUGGUAUACAUGUUUGGGGUGUUUUCAAUCAUCAAGAAAAUUGUGUUAAGAGCCUCAUGCCCUGUGCAAAUAGGAUUCAUUCUACACCAAUUUGGUUUAUACAUGACUUGCAUGUACUAAAAUCUUGAUUAUGCUAUAUUAGAUAUUCAACCUUAUCUUUGUUAUUUGAUUCUAAUUCAGGGAUUACUGAUUAGAAUGAUAUGGUUCUGUUGGAAACUUUUUUUGUUUCUUGUCUAUCUGACAAAAGAAUUAUGUUACCACUAGCUAUUUUGCAGUACACAUGCAGACUUGCAGUACAUUUUUGGAAGAGUCAAGUUCAA